UGGCGGACGGGUGAGUAAUGUCUGGGAAACUGCCUGAUGGAGGGGGAUAACUACUGGAAACGGUAGCUAAUACCGCAUAACGUCGCAAGACCAAAGAGGGGGACCUUAGGGCCUCUUGCCAUCGGAUGUGCCCAGAUGGGAUUAGCUAGUAGGUGGGGUAAAGGCUCACCUAGGCGACGAUCCCUAGCUGGUCUGAGAGGAUGACCAGCCACACUGGAACUGGGACACGGUCCAG
This 235-nucleotide ribosomal RNA is filed under the name uncultured bacterium. RNAcentral describes it as "partial 16S ribosomal RNA". It matches the Rfam family "Bacterial small subunit ribosomal RNA", at positions 96 to 334 of the family's 1533-position model. The record is from RNAcentral.